This 2167-nucleotide ribosomal RNA is filed under the name Staphylococcus aureus. RNAcentral describes it as "partial 23S ribosomal RNA". It matches the Rfam family "Bacterial large subunit ribosomal RNA", at positions 1 to 2165 of the family's 2925-position model. Lineage: Bacteria; Bacillati; Bacillota; Bacilli; Caryophanales; Staphylococcaceae. The record is from RNAcentral.
AGAUUAAGUUAUUAAGGGCGCACGGUGGAUGCCUUGGCACUAGAAGCCGAUGAAGGACGUUACUAACGACGAUAUGCUUUGGGGAGCUGUAAGUAAGCUUUGAUCCAGAGAUUUCCGAAUGGGGAAACCCAGCAUGAGUUAUGUCAUGUUAUCGAUAUGUGAAUACAUAGCAUAUCAGAAGGCACACCCGGAGAACUGAAACAUCUUAGUACCCGGAGGAAGAGAAAGAAAAUUCGAUUCCCUUAGUAGCGGCGAGCGAAACGGGAAGAGCCCAAACCAACAAGCUUGCUUGUUGGGGUUGUAGGACACUCUAUACGGAGUUACAAAGGACGACAUUAGACGAAUCAUCUGGAAAGAUGAAUCAAAGAAGGUAAUAAUCCUGUAGUCGAAAAUGUUGUCUCUCUUGAGUGGAUCCUGAGUACGACGGAGCACGUGAAAUUCCGUCGGAAUCUGGGAGGACCAUCUCCUAAGGCUAAAUACUCUCUAGUGACCGAUAGUGAACCAGUACCGUGAGGGAAAGGUGAAAAGCACCCCGGAAGGGGAGUGAAAUAGAACCUGAAACCGUGUGCUUACAAGUAGUCAGAGCCCGUUAAUGGGUGAUGGCGUGCCUUUUGUAGAAUGAACCGGCGAGUUACGAUUUGAUGCAAGGUUAAGCAGUAAAUGUGGAGCCGUAGCGAAAGCGAGUCUGAAUAGGGCGUUUAGUAUUUGGUCGUAGACCCGAAACCAGGUGAUCUACCCUUGGUCAGGUUGAAGUUCAGGUAACACUGAAUGGAGGACCGAACCGACUUACGUUGAAAAGUGAGCGGAUGAACUGAGGGUAGCGGAGAAAUUCCAAUCGAACCUGGAGAUAGCUGGUUCUCUCCGAAAUAGCUUUAGGGCUAGCCUCAAGUGAUGAUUAUUGGAGGUAGAGCACUGUUUGGACGAGGGGCCCCUCUCGGGUUACCGAAUUCAGACAAACUCCGAAUGCCAAUUAAUUUAACUUGGGAGUCAGAACAUGGGUGAUAAGGUCCGUGUUCGAAAGGGAAACAGCCCAGACCACCAGCUAAGGUCCCAAAAUAUAUGUUAAGUGGAAAAGGAUGUGGCGUUGCCCAGACAACUAGGAUGUUGGCUUAGAAGCAGCCAUCAUUUAAAGAGUGCGUAAUAGCUCACUAGUCGAGUGACACUGCGCCGAAAAUGUACCGGGGCUAAACAUAUUACCGAAGCUGUGGAUUGUCCUUUGGACAAUGGUAGGAGAGCGUUCUAAGGGCGUUGAAGCAUGAUCGUAAGGACAUGUGGAGCGCUUAGAAGUGAGAAUGCCGGUGUGAGUAGCGAAAGACGGGUGAGAAUCCCGUCCACCGAUUGACUAAGGUUUCCAGAGGAAGGCUCGUCCGCUCUGGGUUAGUCGGGUCCUAAGCUGAGGCCGACAGGCGUAGGCGAUGGAUAACAGGUUGAUAUUCCUGUACCACCUAUAAUCGUUUUAAUCGAUGGGGGGACGCAGUAGGAUAGGCGAAGCGUGCGAUUGGAUUGCACGUCUAAGCAGUAAGGCUGAGUAUUAGGCAAAUCCGGUACUCGUUAAGGCUGAGCUGUGAUGGGGAGAAGACAUUGUGUCUUCGAGUCGUUGAUUUCACACUGCCGAGAAAAGCCUCUAGAUAGAAAAUAGGUGCCCGUACCGCAAACCGACACAGGUAGUCAAGAUGAGAAUUCUAAGGUGAGCGAGCGAACUCUCGUUAAGGAACUCGGCAAAAUGACCCCGUAACUUCGGGAGAAGGGGUGCUCUUUAGGGUUAACGCCCAGAAGAGCCGCAGUGAAUAGGCCCAAGCGACUGUUUAUCAAAAACACAGGUCUCUGCUAAACCGUAAGGUGAUGUAUAGGGGCUGACGCCUGCCCGGUGCUGGAAGGUUAAGAGGAGUGGUUAGCUUCUGCGAAGCUACGAAUCGAAGCCCCAGUAAACGGCGGCCGUAACUAUAACGGUCCUAAGGUAGCGAAAUUCCUUGUCGGGUAAGUUCCGACCCGCACGAAAGGCGUAACGAUUUGGGCACUGUCUCAACGAGAGACUCGGUGAAAUCAUAGUACCUGUGAAGAUGCAGGUUACCCGCGACAGGACGGAAAGACCCCGUGGAGCUUUACUGUAGCCUGAUAUUGAAAUUCGGCACAGCUUGUACAGGAUAGGUAGGAGCCUUUGAAACGU